RNAcentral lists this ribosomal RNA (253 nucleotides) under uncultured bacterium. RNAcentral describes it as "partial 16S ribosomal RNA". It matches the Rfam family "Bacterial small subunit ribosomal RNA", at positions 524 to 776 of the family's 1533-position model. The record is from RNAcentral.
UACGUAGGCAGCGAGCGUUGUUCGGAAUUACUGGGCGUAAAGAGUGUGUAGGCGGUGCUCCCAGUCUGUUGUGAAAUCUCCCGGCUUAACUGGGAGGGUGCAGCGGAAACUAGAGUGCUAGAGGGUGGGAGAGGUAAGCGGAAUUCCUGGUGUAGCGGUGAAAUGCGUAGAUAUCGGGAGGAACACCAGUGGCGAAGGCGGCUCACUGGACCGGUACUGACGCUGAGGAGCGAAAGCGUGGGUAGCAAACAGG